Molecule: ribosomal RNA, 271 nt
Filed under: Pseudomonas aeruginosa
Lineage: Bacteria; Pseudomonadati; Pseudomonadota; Gammaproteobacteria; Pseudomonadales; Pseudomonadaceae
Also listed under: 1 other name
Description: partial 16S ribosomal RNA
Rfam family: Bacterial small subunit ribosomal RNA
Source: RNAcentral
AAAUUGAAGAGUUUGAUCAUGGCUCAGAUUGAACGCUGGCGGCAGGCCUAACACAUGCAAGUCGAGCGGUAGCACAGAGAGCUUGCUCUCGGGUGACGAGCGGCGGACGGGUGAGUAAUGUCUGGGAAACUGCCUGAUGGAGGGGGAUAACUACUGGAAACGGUAGCUAAUACCGCAUAAUGUCGCAAGACCAAAGUGGGGGACCUUCGGGCCUCAUGCCAUCAGAUGUGCCCAGAUGGGAUUAGCUAGUAGGUGGGGUAACGGCUCACCU